AAACUUAGGCUAACCA
Molecule: transfer RNA, 16 nt
Filed under: Amolops afghanus
Lineage: Eukaryota; Metazoa; Chordata; Amphibia; Anura; Ranidae
Description: partial tRNA-Trp
Source: RNAcentral